This 301-nucleotide ribosomal RNA is filed under the name uncultured bacterium. Its description in RNAcentral is "partial 16S ribosomal RNA". It matches the Rfam family "Bacterial small subunit ribosomal RNA", at positions 509 to 807 of the family's 1533-position model. The record is from RNAcentral.
CAGUCGCCGCGGUAAUACGGAAGGUCCAGGCGUUAUCCGGAUUUAUUGGGUUUAAAGGGAGUGUAGGCGGUCUGUUAAGCGUGUUGUGAGAUUUAGGUGCUCAACAUCUAACUUGCAGCGCGAACUGGCGGACUUGAGUGCACGCAACGUAUGCGGAAUUCAUGGUGUAGCGGUGAAAUGCUUAGAUAUCAUGACGAACUCCGAUUGCGAAGGCAGCGUACGGGAGUGUUACUGACGCUUAAGCUCGAAGGUGCGGGUAUCGAACAGGAUUAGAUACCCCAGUAGUCCCUGUCUCUUAUAC